GCGGUCAAGUACUUUCCUUCUUCUUCAGAUAGAUAGACGACUGAGAUUGAUAGAUGCCAUCAGUUCUCGUCAGACAUUCUCAACUUUAAAUACGGUAAAAAAAAAACUACUAGAUCAGUAAAAAAUAAUAGAAAAUUACUGCGAGUGACGGCCAAAACCAACAAAAAGAAAAACGCGGCUGCUGUAUUCACCAAAAAACCAGAGCGACAAACAACCAACAAACACACAGAGAGAAAGAGAGAGAGAGAGAGAGAGAAAGAGAGAGAGGCUUUGAAUGGUAUUCGAUUUCCAGGUAUAGAGAGAGAUCGAUCGCACCAACCCACAAGGCCCAAUUCCCCCUGACAAAAAUACCUUGAGCUCCGAAUACCCUCUUCCUUUUCCAUUCCUGGUCUUCGAUCGAAUCUGUUCUAAGUCUGCUGUGAUUCCUGUUGUUUCCUCAUAGGAACGAACAAUAGCAGAAACCCGACUUUAUUUUUUUUAAUUUUUGGUUUACUUUGUUUUUUCGCUUUUCGGGAUCGCUUGGAUCCUUUGUUUCGAUUUGGUGGCGGGGGGGAGAGGGUUUCAGGUAUUUUCUGUGUGUGAUUGUGUUUGGGUGAAUUUGAUGCUAUCUAUUGGAAGGAGAGAUGCGAGAAAGGAGUUAG
RNAcentral lists this long non-coding RNA (641 nucleotides) under Linum usitatissimum (flax). Its description in RNAcentral is "long non-coding RNA (LUSI_LNC006907)". Lineage: Eukaryota; Viridiplantae; Streptophyta; Magnoliopsida; Malpighiales; Linaceae. The record is from RNAcentral.